This 481-nucleotide ribosomal RNA is filed under the name uncultured bacterium. RNAcentral's name for it is "bacterial SSU rRNA". It matches the Rfam family "Bacterial small subunit ribosomal RNA", at positions 52 to 518 of the family's 1533-position model. The record is from RNAcentral.
UACAUGCAAGUCGACGAAGCACCUCUCCCGAAGAUUGAAGCUGCUGCAGCUGAUUGAUUCAAUGAGGUGACUGAGUGGCGGACGGGUGAGUAACGCGUGGGUAACCUGCCUCAUACAGGGGGAUAACAGUUGGAAACGACUGCUAAUACCGCAUAAGCGCACAGUACCGCAUGGUACAGUGUGAAAAAACUCCGGUGGUAUGAGAUGGACCCGCGUCUGAUUAGCUAGUUGGAGGGGUAACGGCCCACCAAGGCGACGAUCAGUAGCCGACUUGAGAGAGUGAUCGGCCACAUUGGGACUGAGACACGGCCCAAACUCCUACGGGAGGCAGCAGUAGGGAAUAUUGCACAAUGGGGGAAACCCUGAUGACAGCGACGCCGCGUGAAGGAUGAAGUAUUUCGGUACGUAAAGCUCUAUCAGCAGGGAAGAUAAUGACGGUACCUGACUAAGAAGCCCCGGCUAACUACGUGCCAGCCGCCGC